RNAcentral lists this unclassified non-coding RNA (520 nucleotides) under uncultured Entrophospora. Its description in RNAcentral is "SSU rRNA". It matches the Rfam family "Eukaryotic small subunit ribosomal RNA", at positions 569 to 1086 of the family's 1831-position model. The record is from RNAcentral. Lineage: Eukaryota; Fungi; Glomeromycota; Glomeromycetes; Entrophosporales; Entrophosporaceae.
AGCAGCCGCGGUAAUUCCAGCUCCAAUAGCGUAUAUUAAAGUUGUUGCAGUUAAAAGCUCGUAGUUGAAUUUCGGGAUUGACACAUCGGUCGUGCCUUAAGGGGUAUGAACUGGUGUAGUCAAUUUCUCACCUUCUGGAGAACCGCGAUGCCCUUAAUUGGGUGUCGCGGGGAACCAGGACCUUUACUUUGAAAAAUUAGAGUGUUUAAAGCAGGCAUUUUGCUUGAAUACAUUAGCAUGGAAUAAUAAAAUAGGACGGCAUGAUUCUAUUUUGUUGGUUUCUAGGAUCACCGUAAUGAUUAAUAGGGAUAGUUGGGGGCAUUAGUAUUCAAUUGUCAGAGGUGAAAUUCUUGGAUUUAUUGAAGACUAACUACUGCGAAAGCAUUUGCCAAGGAUGUUUUCAUUAAUCAAGAACGAAAGUUAGGGAUCGAAGACGAUCAGAUACCGUCGUAGUCUUAACCAUAAACUAUGCCGACUAGGAAUCAGACGAUGUUAAUUUUUAACUGUACUUCGUUGGCUA